This 483-nucleotide ribosomal RNA is filed under the name uncultured bacterium. RNAcentral's name for it is "partial 16S ribosomal RNA". It matches the Rfam family "Bacterial small subunit ribosomal RNA", at positions 30 to 506 of the family's 1533-position model. The record is from RNAcentral.
AUUGAACGCUGGCGGCAUGCCUUACACAUGCAAGUCGAACGGCAGCGCGGGAGCAAUCCUGGCGGCGAGUGGCGAACGGGUGAGUAAUACAUCGGAACGUGCCCAAUCGUGGGGGAUAACGCAGCGAAAGCUGUGCUAAUACCGCAUACGAUCUACGGAUGAAAGCAGGGGAUCUCAAGACCUUGCGCGAAUGGAGCGGCCGAUGGCACAUUAGGUAGUUGGUGGGGUAAAGGCUCACCCAGCCUCCGAUGUGUAGCUGGUCUGAGAGGACGACCAGCCACACUGGGGCUGAGACACGGCCCAGACUCCUACGGGAGGCAGCAGUGGGGAAUUUUGGACAAUGGGCGAAAGCCUGAACCAGCCAUGCCGCGUGCAGGAUGAAGGCCUUCGGGUUGUAAACUGCUUUUGUACGGAACGAAACGGUCUUUUCUAAAAAAGAAGGCUAAUGAGGGUACCGUAAGAAUAAGCACCGGCUAACUACGU